Molecule: ribosomal RNA, 468 nt
Filed under: uncultured bacterium
Lineage: Bacteria
Description: partial 16S ribosomal RNA
Rfam family: Bacterial small subunit ribosomal RNA
Source: RNAcentral
GACGAACGCUGGCGGCGUGCUUAACACAUGCAAGUCGAACGGUAAGGCCCUGCUUUUGUGGGGUGCUCGAGUGGCGAACGGGUGAGUAACACGUGAGUAACCUGCCCUUGACUUUGGGAUAACUUCAGGGAACUGGGGCUAAUACCGGAUAGGAGCUCCUGCUGCAUGGUGGGGGUUGGAAAGUUUCGGCGGUUGGGGAUGGACUCGCGGCUUAUCAGCUUGUUGGUGGGGUAGUGGCUUACCAAGGCUUUGACGGGUAGCCGGCUUGAGAGGGUGACCGGCCACAUUAGGACUGAGAUACGGCCCAGACUCCUACGGGAGGCAGCAGUGGGGAAUAUUGCACAAUGGGCGGAAGCCUGAUGCAGCAACGCCGCGUGCGGGAUGACGGCCUUCGGGUUGUAAACCGCUUUCGCCUGUGACGAAGCGUGAGUGACGGUAAUGGGUAAAGAAGCACCGGCUAACUACGUG